Molecule: ribosomal RNA, 441 nt
Filed under: uncultured Chloroflexota bacterium
Lineage: Bacteria; Bacillati; Chloroflexota
Description: bacterial SSU rRNA
Rfam family: Bacterial small subunit ribosomal RNA
Source: RNAcentral
ACAAGCAGCGGAGCGUGUGGUUAAUUCGAUGCAACGCGAAAACCUUACCAAGGCUUGACAUGCCAGAGUAGAACUCGAAAGAGAGACCAUCUGUAUCCAGUCAGAAGCUGGCACAGGUGCUGCAUGGCUGUCGUCAGCUCGUGCCGUGAGGUGUUAGGUUAAGUCCUGCAACGAGCGCAACCCUCGUCGCUAGUUAAUUUUCUAGCGAUACUGCCCGUAAAACGAGGAGGAAGGUGGGGAUGACGUCAAGUCAGCAUGGCCCUUACGCCUUGGGCUACACACACGCUACAAUGGGUUAUACAACGGGUUGCGAAAGAGCGAUCUGGAGCUAAUCCCUAAAAUCACUCUCAGUUCGGAUUGUAGGCUGAAACUGCCUGCAUGAAGUUGGAGUUGCUAGUAACCGCAGGUCAGCACACUGCGGUGAAUACGUUCUCGGGCCUU